Suricata suricatta (meerkat) is the source of this 220-nucleotide long non-coding RNA. RefSeq lists it as uncharacterized. Lineage: Eukaryota; Metazoa; Chordata; Mammalia; Carnivora; Herpestidae. The record is from RefSeq and is a predicted model, not a curated record. The transcript has 3 exons.
AGAAAAAGCAGUAAGUCUUUCUUACUCCAAAAGCGAUGUCAUCACUGGUGCUUCUUUGUUUCCUUCUCCAUCCACCCAAUGAUCAACUAGGGCCACUGGUCGUGGAUUCUACCUGCACAGCCUCAUUCAGUUGAAGGAUUCUUAAAGACUGGAAUUUCAGCUAGUCUGUGCUACACACCGCAGCAAAAUUUCCAAACAAGAAUAUUUACUCCAGUUGUCC